Molecule: ribosomal RNA, 801 nt
Filed under: uncultured bacterium
Lineage: Bacteria
Description: bacterial SSU rRNA
Rfam family: Bacterial small subunit ribosomal RNA
Source: RNAcentral
AGAGUUUGAUCCUGGCUCAGGAUGAACGCUGGCGGCGUGCUUAACACAUGCAAGUCGAGCGAAGCACUUUUGCGGAUUUCUUCGGAUUGAAGCAAUUGUGACUGAGCGGCGGACGGGUGAGUAACGCGUGGGUAACCUGCCUCAUACAGGGGGAUAACAGUUGGAAACGGCUGCUAAUACCGCAUAAGCGCACAGUACCGCAUGGUACCGUGUGAAAAACUCCGGUGGUAUGAGAUGGACCCGCGUCUGAUUAGCUAGUUGGUGGGGUAACGGCCUACCAAGGCGACGAUCAGUAGCCGACCUGAGAGGGUGACCGGCCACAUUGGGACUGAGACACGGCCCAAACUCCUACGGGAGGCAGCAGUGGGGAAUAUUGCACAAUGGGGGAAACCCUGAUGCAGCGACGCCGCGUGAGCGAUGAAGUAUUUCGGUAUGUAAAGCUCUAUCAGCAGGGAAGAAAAUGACGGUACCUGACUAAGAAGCCCCGGCUAACUACGUGCCAGUAGCCGCGGUAAUACGUAGGGGGCAAGCGUUAUCCGGAUUUACUGGGUGUAAAGGGAGCGUAGACGGCAUGGCAAGCCAGAUGUGAAAGCCCGGGGCUCAACCCCGGGACUGCAUUUGGAACUGUCAGGCUAGAGUGUCGGAGAGGAAAGCGGAAUUCCUAGUGUAGCGGUGCAAUGCGUAGAUAUUAGGAGGAACACCAGUGGCGAAGGCGGCUUUCUGGACGAUGACUGACGUUGAGGCUCGAAAGCGUGGGGAGCAAACAGGAAAAGAUACCCUGGUAGUCCACGCCGUAAACGA